RNAcentral lists this ribosomal RNA (467 nucleotides) under uncultured bacterium. RNAcentral describes it as "partial 16S ribosomal RNA". It matches the Rfam family "Bacterial small subunit ribosomal RNA", at positions 29 to 507 of the family's 1533-position model. The record is from RNAcentral.
ACGAACGCUGGCGGCGUGCUUCACCCAUGCCAGUCGAACGGAAAGGCCCUGCUUUUGUGGGGUGCUCGAGUGGCGAACGGGUGAUUAACACGUGAGUAACCUGCCCUUGACUUUGGGAUAACUUCAGGAAACUGGGGCUAAUACCGGAUAGGAGCUCCUGCUGCAUGGUGGGGGUUGGAAAGUUUCGGCGGUUGGGGAUGGACUCGCGGCUUAUCAGCUUGUUGGUGGGGUAGUGGCUUACCAAGGCUUUGACGGGUAGCCGGCCUGAGAGGGUGACCGGCCACAAUGGGACUGAGAUACGGCCCAGACUCCUACGGGAGGCAGCAGUGGGGAAUAUUGCACAAUGGGCGGAAGCCUGAUGCAGCAACGCCGCGUGCGGGAUGACGGCCUUCGGGUUGUAAACCGCUUUCGCCUGUGACGAAGCGUGAGUGACGGUAAUGGGUAAAGAAGCACCGGCUAACUACGUG